This 77-nucleotide transfer RNA is filed under the name Neisseria sp. HMSC15G01. RNAcentral's name for it is "tRNA-Asp". It matches the Rfam family "tRNA". Rfam says of the family: Transfer RNA (tRNA) molecules are approximately 80 nucleotides in length. Their secondary structure includes four short double-helical elements and three loops (D, anti-codon, and T loops). Further hydrogen bonds mediate the characteristic L-shaped molecular structure. tRNAs have two regions of fundamental functional importance: the anti-codon, which is responsible for specific mRNA codon recognition, and the 3' end, to which the tRNAs corresponding amino acid is attached (by aminoacyl-tRNA synthetases). tRNAs cope with the degeneracy of the genetic code in two manners: having more than one tRNA (with a specific anti-codon) for a particular amino acid; and 'wobble' base-pairing, i.e. permitting non-standard base-pairing at the 3rd anti-codon position. The record is from RNAcentral. Lineage: Bacteria; Pseudomonadati; Pseudomonadota; Betaproteobacteria; Neisseriales; Neisseriaceae.
GCGGUGGUAGCUCAGUUGGUUAGUGUACCGGCCUGUCACGCCGGGGGUCGCGGGUUCGAGCCCCGUCCGCCGCGCCA